UGAACGCUGGCGGCGUGCCUAAUACAUGCAAGUCGAGCGAGAAAAGGGAGACACUUCGGUAGAACCCUGAGUAAAGCGGCGGACGGGUGAGUAACACGUAGGUGACCUGCCCUGGAGAGGGGGACAAGCACUGGAAACGGUGUGUAAUACCCCAUAAGCUCACAGACGUUAAGAGGAUGUGAGAAAAGGAUUUAUCGCUUCAGGAGGGGCCUGCGGGCCAUCAUGCUAGUUGGUAGGGUAAAGGCCUACCAAGGCUAAGACGGAUAGGGGGCCUGAGAGGGUGACCCCCCACACGGGAACUGAGACACGGUCCCGACUCCUACGGGAGGCAGCAGUAAGGAAUAUUGCACAAUGGGCGAAAGCCUGAUGCAGCAACGCCGCGUGUGUGAAGAAGGCUUUCGGGUUGUAAAGCACUUUUCUGGCAGAAGAGGAAGGACAGUAUGCCAGGAAUAAGAGUCGGCUAACUAC
Molecule: ribosomal RNA, 468 nt
Filed under: uncultured bacterium
Lineage: Bacteria
Description: bacterial SSU rRNA
Rfam family: Bacterial small subunit ribosomal RNA
Source: RNAcentral